GGCCUCGACCACGACCUCGGCCUUUAGUGGCCCCAACUGGUGGUACUAGUGGUCGUCCCUCCUUUGCGGUAGCACGCGUCCUCACCAUCUGUAAGAGAAUGGAAUAACAGAAGUUUAGUACUCAAAUCAACAAAUUUGCACAACAAGAAUUUCAAGAAUAUGAAGUUUUUCCUAAAGAUUUAGCAGCCUCCCAAUGAUAAAUACAGACGUCUCCAUACCAAUCCACGAGACUCUACUAAACCGGCUCAUGAAUUGCGAAACCUAUGUAAUAUAGGAUCUUAUACCAACAUGUCACGACCCCAAAUACCGGUCGUGAUGGCGUCUAUCAUGUUACUAGGCAAGCCAACCAAUCAGCUAACCACAACCCAUUUUCCUUAACAUUAAGCCAUUUUCUAACACAAAUUUUAAAUAUUAAUUUCAUUAUAAGCGUUAAAACAACAAAAAUAUGCGGAAGGUCAAAAUAACAACAGCUACACAGCCCAUAAUCUGGUGCCCCGAGUCUAGAGCCUCUAAUAUAAGUCUGAAAAACCAACUACAUAAAUAGUCUAGAAAAGUGCAAAAUGAUAAGAAGAUAGAGGGGCAAAAUCAGGGUUACGAACGCCAUGCAGCUACCUCGGCAUACCCGGCAAAUGCUGAAACAGCUGAAAGCUCUCACUCAUCCACUUGGGCACCUGGAUAUGCACAAAAGGUGCGGGGAGUAGCGUGAGUACACCAAAUGCGUAAGUAACUAAAGUAAAUAAAGACUGAAAGUAGUGACGAGCAGUUCAAACAUAUAACUUCAAAAUUAAUUUCGUUAGAAGAAUUAUCAUUUCCAGUUUAAAACAUUGAAAUCGGAUACAUAGCAAUAUAUUCAACAGAGUCUUAUUUCAAAGAAUAGUGAAAUAGUGAAAACAUCAUCACAGGGCCCUUCAGGCAAGGAAUCACAUAGAAAGUGGCCCUCCGGGCAGCCUCUCAGUCACUCGUGACUCAACUCUCAUCACACAUUACUCACUCUCAGCAGUUGUCUCAGUAUUAUCUCAUAAUAAUAAAAAUCAUAAUAACCGUUGUGGCGUGCAGCCUAAUCCAUAUAUAAUAAUCGACUACACUCACUGGGAUGUGCAGACUCUGGAAGGGCUCCUGCAGCCCAAGCGUCAUAUCGCUACGCAUACAUACAUAUACAUACAUAUAUAUCGUUGCGACGUGUAGCCCGAUUCAUAACUCACAUAUAUAUAUAAAUAUCCUCACAAUUGGGUUCUCAACCUCUCUCAAUCCUUUACCUCACAUCCUCUCGGGCAUAACAAUAGAAAUUAGGGAACUCAACCCAAACAGAUCUCACAAUUAAGAGUAUAGUAAUAAAACCAGUUUUAAAACAUUUAAGCAGGUAAAACAUAACUGAGGAUAUGCUUGUAACAAGUAAAGUGAGGAAAAUGGUCAAAAUGCCUGUAAGGGUUUAUAUAAGUCGGCACAAGGCCCCAAACGUGGCAUACGGACCAUAGCACAGCAUAAGAAUCCAAAGUACGGAAUAAUAUAACAUUUCCAAUCAAUUACGCGGCUUAAUAGUCGCUACGGGACGGCCCGAAUCAUAAUCCCUAUCGGGCACGCCCACACGCUCGCUUUUAUCAAAACAAGUCAAAUACCGAGAUUUUAUACCCUCAAUUCCACAUUUACAAUGGUUAUUUACCUCAAACUGAUGAAAAUACUACUCCGUGAGGCCCUUGCCCCUCCAAUCGGCCUCCACUCGCAUUGAAUCUAUUCAAAAUCAAAAUCAUGGAGUCAAAAUAUGCUAGGGAAAUGAAGCCCAAGCGAAAACAAUCAAAAAAUACCAAAAAUCUCGAAAUUGGCCAAACCUGACCUCCGGGCCCACGUCUCGAAAUUCAUAAAUUUCCACAUUAAUAGAUUCCUUAUCUCCUCAUAUACAUAUCAAAAGUUCUCAAAUCCGACCCCAAAUGGUCCUUCAAAUCCCAAAUCAAAAGUCCAAUUUCACAUCAUAGUAUACUAAGGGAACAAAGCCUAAGCGAAAACAAUCAAUAACGGGCACAAAUCCUUAAAUUUCCAAAAUCGGAGCCCCGUGCCCACUUCUCAUAACUCAGAAAAUUUUCACAUCAAUAGAUUCCUUAUCUUUCCAUGAGUUCAUACAUACCAAAAAUUCUCAAAUCCGACCUCAAAAGGUCCUUCAAAUCCCAAAUUCAAAAGGCCAAUUUCUCAAGCCCUAGUUCUUCAAUUUUAGGCUUAGUUUUCAUAAUUUUCUAGGUGGAAUUCAAAUAAUAAUCGAGUUUUUAGUCCAAGAAUCUUACCUCCCAACAAUGCCCCUUGAAUCCCUCUUCAAUCUCCUUCAAAAAUCUCCAAAAGCGAGCAACUAUGGAGGAAAUGUGACACAACAUCCUGAACAAGUCGAGUUAAAGACAUUCUGCCUAGACCAUAAUUUCCUUCUUCGCGAACACGGUCAAACCCUCGCAUUCGCAAAGCACAAACUUACUUGAACAAAUUUUCCUUCUACGCGAUCACAACCAAACCCUCGUGAAUGCGUUGCUUCACCUAGAUGACCCUUUGCGAACGUGCACCAUCUCCCGCGAACGCAAAGAUCAACUUGAAUUCCAACCCAGCUGACCUAAUUCUUCUACGCGAUCGCAGAGUCCUUCUCGCGAACGCGAUGUACCACGGCCCAACCCUCCGUGACUGCGAAGCCCUUCUCGCAAACGUGAAGGAUUAAUCCUUGCCUUCCUCAACUGCCUCUUCGCGAACGCGAGGCUCCACUUGCGAAUGCGAAGGGCAAAAUUCCUGCAACAGCUGAACAGAUUUUUCUACAAUUUUCUAAACUCCAAAAUAGCCCGAUUGACCAUUCGAAACUCACCUGAGACCCUUGGGACCUCAACCAAAGUCACCAACAUAUCCUAAAACAUUAUUCAAACUUGUUCCAAUCAUUAGAACACUUCAAAUAACAUCAAAUUACCCAAAACAUAUCGGAUUCAAGCCUAAGUUUCUAAAAUCUCCUGAAUUACGCUUUAGAUAAAAAAUCCAACCAAACCACAUCCGAAUGACCUGAAAUUUUACACACAAAUUUCAAAUGAGACAACAAAGCUACUGCAACUCUUAGUAUUCCAUUCCGACCCUUAUCGAAAUCUCGCCUACCAAUCGGAAAUCGCCAAAAUAUCAACUUUGCCAAUUCAAGCCUAAAUAUACUCCAAACCUCCAAAACCUAUUCCGAUCACAUUCCUAUGUCAUAAAUCACUUUCGGAAGCUAAUCAAACUAUCAGAAGUCACAUCCAUGUCCUCUAACACUUAAGCCAACAUUUGAUUGACUUUUCUAACUUAAGCCUUCUCAAAAGAGACUAAGUGUCUCAAACCUUACCAAACUCCUUCCGGGUUCGAUCCGACCAACCUGAUACCACAAAACACGAAUAAUGAAGCAUAAAGAAGCAGCAAUAGAAAAAAUAAAUCGAUAACCCAUGAGAUGACUGGUCGAGUUGUCAUAUUGUUUUUACUUCAUCGCCUAUUUCUUCUAUCACUUCUUCCAAAUCACACACUCAUUCUAUUUCUCUUAUUCCUCUUCCUCUUCCUUCUCCUCAUACACCUCAGUUGAGGAGGGAACACCAUCAACCAAUUCAUCUUAAUGACUAUAUGUGCAAUGCAAUGUACCUCAGUAACCUUACUUCAUCUUGUUUCAUUCUACCCGUUUUUCCAUCCAUCUUUCCCUUUUCAGCAUUUUGCCACACCAACCACCAAUUGUUAAAUUUUAUAUCCUAUAUUUCAGAACCACUAAGUUAUAUGCAGGCAUCACUGCAUCCAGGAUGGCAUCAACGAAGGGCUGAAUUCAAUCAAGAAGAAGAAAAUUGUAGACCCCGUCCAUGACAAAUGAAUAAUCUCCAAUAAAACAUGGAAAGUUGUUGAGCUUCCAGUUGGUAACAAAACUUUUCCAUAUAAAUAGGUGUAUAAAGUAAAACAUAAAUAAGAUAGGAGCGUAUAAAGACUGAAAGUUAGACUUGUUGUUAGAGGGGACACUCAAAAGGAAGAAAUAGAUUUUAAUGAGACUUUUUCACUAGUGGUUAAAUAUUACUACAAUUAGGUGUAUUCUUGCAGUAAUAGUGAAGAAGAAUCGGGGAAUUUACCAAUUAGCUGUGAAUAAUGCUUUCUUACAUGGAGACCUAUAAAAACAGGUCUAUAUGAAGUUUCCUCCAAGGAUGUAUCCCUAUAAUUCUAAUCUAGUGUCCAGACUGUGCAAAUCCUUAUAUGGUUUAAAAAAGACAUUACGUCAGUGGUAUGCAAGAUUAAAUGGAACCCUCAAUUUCAAGGGAUACUCAUCUUCCCUAAACGAUCAUUCUCUAUUUUUCAAGAAAAAAGAUGAUUCUAUUUCUAUUUUUACAUUUUAUGUUGAUGAUAUCUUGUUGACCGGGAAUGACUCUGUGAACUCAGUAAUCUAAAAGCUUUUUUGGACGCAGAGCUUAAAAUCGAGGACCUUGGAUAUGUUCAUUAUUUUUUGGGGAUGGAAGUUAUCAGAGAAUCACAUGGAAUUAUAUUAAGCCAUAGAAAUUUUACCUUGGAUUUUCUUACAUGUACAAACUCUCCAAUUGUCUCAUCUCCCCUCCCUUAUUUUCUAACAAUAAAAUUCUUUUUUUGAAAGGCCAGUAACAAUGCGGUAGUAGUUGCGGAACUACUGGGCCGGGAGAGGACAACCUCUUGUUCCUGCUCCUCUUUCUUCGCUUCGGGGACGGAGGUCCU
RNAcentral lists this long non-coding RNA (4695 nucleotides) under Nicotiana benthamiana. RNAcentral's name for it is "long non-coding RNA (NBEN_LNC019584)". The record is from RNAcentral. Lineage: Eukaryota; Viridiplantae; Streptophyta; Magnoliopsida; Solanales; Solanaceae.